AUUGCACGCUGGCGGCAGGCCUAACACAUGCAAGUCGAGCGAGCGGCGGACGGGUGAGUAAUGUCUGGGAAACUGCCUGAUGGAGGGGGAUAACUACUGGAAACGGUAGCUACUACCGCAUACCAUCAGAUGUGCCCAGAUGGGAUGAGCUGGUGGGUGGGGGAACGGCUCACCUAGGCGACGAUCGCUAGCUGGUCUGAGAGGAUGACCAGCAAAACGGGAACGGAGACACGGUCCAGACGCCUACGGGAGGCAGCGGUGGGGAAUAUUGACCAAGGGGCGAAAGCCUGAUGCAGCCAUGCCGGGUGUGUGAAGAAGGCCUUCGGGUUGUAAAGCACUUUCAGCGGGGAGGCGUUACCCGCAGAAGAAGCACCGGCUAACUCCGUGCCAGCAGCCGCGGUAAUA
This 405-nucleotide ribosomal RNA is filed under the name uncultured bacterium. RNAcentral's name for it is "partial 16S ribosomal RNA". It matches the Rfam family "Bacterial small subunit ribosomal RNA", at positions 29 to 525 of the family's 1533-position model. The record is from RNAcentral.